UAUGUUUCUAUGGCUAGUGGUUAAUGAGCAGGUCGUCAUGUGUCCAGCACAAUGACUAACCGCCUUAAUUUUCCCCACCUAAAAUCAGUUACCCAUUAGUGUUGGGUUUCUGAGGGGCACCCUAAAAAUUCAAAAUCCCAAUCUUCAUUGAGGUUCAAACCCAGGACCCCAUUGUUUUCCUAUGAGGUACACAAAUCCUUUAGCCGACAAAAAAUCAAAAUAUUGAUAUAGAAACGAAAUGUAAAAUGACUGAGCUUUGGGCCCAUGACUUUGAAAUGCUAAUAUCUAUGUAUACUUCUUUAUGUUGGCAGAGGAUCAACAUGAUUUGUUCAUUGAAAGACACUUGAAGGUGUAAGUUGUAAAAGGUUUUGAAAGACUUGCCAAAGCAAGGCAUUCUUGACAGGAAUAAACAUUGGGAGCAGCUCUAGCUGACUCAGCUCAGAGGAUGACAUCACUGUUACAUCUUUCUGUUAACAAUGCAUGGAUUAUCUUAUCUUCUUCAUUCUAGGGGAAUUAUGCAUUGAGUGAAGACAUCUUGCUGUAGAAGAGAAGAACAAUUCAGAUAGUUCACAUGAUUUACAAUAUAGCUUUGAUUGUCUUAUGUUAAUGGCUGGUAAAGAACUGAAACAUGUAGGCUGGAGAUCACUUGAUAGAAAUCAAGAAAUCUCUGAUCUACAUUGUAUGAGAAAAUCAUGAAGUGGUUGUUGUCAUUGAUCCAGAAACUAAGUUGCAAUCUGUCUUGAUAAAUAUAUCAUACAGAUUUAAUGGUGGUCUACUCAACCCGAGGCGGCUUAAAGCAAAAACAAAAACAAACGCAGCAGUAAUCAGAGACUUGCUAUUUGCUGACGACUGUGCCCUAAAUGCCUGCUCUGAUAACGAUCUGCAGAGCAUCGUCAGUGACUUCUCAAGAGCAUGCUCAGACUUUGGCCUUACCAUCAAUACGAACAAGACUGAAGUCUUAUAUCUACCUGCUCCUGGGAAAGCCUACUUGGAUCCAAGCAUCACUAUAAAUGGACAGGAUAUAAAUGCAGUGGACAAAUUCACAUAUCUUGGCAGCACACUCUCCAGAAAUGGAAAAAUCGAUAGUGAAAUCGACCUGCGUAUCGCCAAGGCCAGUGCAUCCUACGGCAGAUUGUCUACAAAUGUCUGGAACAGACGUGGUAUCUCCACAAACACCAAGCUAGGGGUCUAUAGAGCUGUCAUCCUCCCUACAUUGCUAUAUGCCUCAGAAACAUGGACAGUGUACAGUAAACAUGCAAAGAAACUAAACCACUUCCACAUGACAUGUCUGAGAAAAAUACUAAAUGUCAAAUGGCAAGACAAAAUACCAGAGUGUGUCUGCAAAGCAUCCACACAAUCCUGAUGCAGUCCCAGCUGCGAUGGGCAGGUCACGUCUACAGAAUGGAAGACCACCGCAUCCCUAAACGACUCCUGUAUGGCCAACUAAGCGAAGGAAAGCGCUCGCAAGGUGGUCAAAGAAAGCGCUUCAGGGACACCCUCAAAGUCAAAGCUUCUCUGAAGGCGUUCAGCAUAGACCCAGGCACCUGGGAGACAGAGGCACAUGACAGAGCAUCAUGGCGUCGCGCUGUGAAAACUGGCGCACAGGUUGCUGGGGAAAAAAGAACAAUGCUGGCAGAAGAAAAACGCCAGAAAAGAAAAGCAAGGCCCACGACACUAGCUCCAGCUGGAAUAACCUGCCCAGUGUGCGGCCGAACAUUCCGGGCUCACAUAGGUCUCACCAGCCACAUGAGGAGGCAUAAAACCCCAGUGCAAAGCCCUCAGCCCCCUGGAUGACAAAGUGGUCAUCAUCGAACCACGAUGGACGAACUAUAAGUUGCAAUCUGUCUUGGUAAGCAGUAUUGAAGUUAGGGUGAUAGCUUUUUUGGUCACAAUAAUUUAAUUUGAAAAUUAAAGAAAUUUUUUUUGCUUUAGUAGACAGAUUUAUAAUCAUUAAACAUUGUUUUAAAUGUCUAAAAGAUUAAUUAAAACUUGUAAAACUGUUGUGAAAUUAUUUUCACUGUUAUCAGUAUUUUUUAUUCCUAGAUUUAUCACUGCUUUUAGUUUCCUAUAUAAUCGUUGUGUUACUAUUCAAAUGUUGUGUAAACAUGGGGGUAGUGUUGUAACCCUGCCUUGCACCAGUGCUUGAGGUGCGCACUAGCGCACUAGUGAACGUAAACAGGAAGAGACUAGAAUGGAGAGAAGAACAGGGCAUCAGGGAUUAUGAAGAGUCUGAAUGUUUGGAAACUGAGAAGCCAGCUUUUGGUGCUGCCUGAAGGUUGUAGAAGGGACCUGGAAUGAAGCGGGGAAGGCUGUCGUUGGUCCACAUUCGGGUUGCUGUCUAAAGGACUGGUAAAUUAGUAGAAAGACUCUGAGGAAGCUGAAGGAUGCUAUGUGUUUGUCCUAGUGAAUAAACACCUGUCUUUAUUUCCUGUUACACUGUGUUGAGUUGCCUGCCUAUUCGUUGAGUGCCUAGCCGAGAGUUGCAACAAUUGGUGUUAUGACUCUACAAUGCACGCUGUCAUUAGGUGUGAGACUGCGCACCAGGAGACACAGGACAGAGACAGGAAAUAAGAGAGGAAGUCAAGAUGGCCGAUGAUUAGAGAUGAAAACGACGCUUGUGAUGUGAUUAGUGUAAUUCUAGAUCUAGUUUCCUAUUUGGUUAUUAAACAUUCUAUUUUGUUACUUUAUACUCCUUUCGUUGAGGUUAUUUGGCUAAGUUCUAGCAAUUGUUCUGGGUGGAAAGACAUGCUCCAAUUUGAUUCCCUUUUCUGUAAUUCAUCUAAUUCUCUUUGUAAAAUAUCUGUGUCUUGUGUUGUUUUUAUUGUUCUAUAUAUUAUGCAAUCGUCUGCAAAUAAUCUGACUUUUGUUCCUGAACUAAUGCAAUUUGGUAAAUCAUUUAUGUAAAUUAAAAAUAGUGGUGGACCCAAGACUGUUCCUUAAGGUACACCUGAGUUUACUGUUAUCGGUGUUGAUUUAGAGCCAUUUAUUAUUACAGUUUGUUCUCUCCCUAUCAGAAAAUCUUUAAUCCACUGAUGCAGUGGACCAUUAAUGCCGAAAUAUUUUAAUUGUUUAAGCAAACUAUAGUGGUGAACUUUGUCAAAAGCCUUGGAAAAAUCUAGUAAGAUAGCAUCUAUUUGUUCACUAUUAUCUAAACCUUUUGAAAAAUCAUCAAUUAGUCCUAUUAGUUGUGUUUCACAUGAUCUAUAUUUCCUAAAGCCAUGUUGGUAUGCGGUAAGAACAUUAUGUUUGUCUAAGUGGUUUAUGAUGUUGCUACAUAUUAUGUGUUCUAGGAUUUUACAUGUGAUGCUGGUAAGUGAUACUGGUCUGUAGUUUCCUGGGUCAGAUGUUUCUCCUUUUUUAAAUAGGGGGGUGACAUUAGCUUCUUUCUAGUCCUUUGGUACUCUGCCCUGGUUAAGCGAUGCCUGAAAGAGUAUUUUGAACACUGGGGCUAGUUCAUUGCUUAGUUCUUUGAGUAAUCUAGCUGGAAUACCUUCAGGUCCAGACGCUUUAUUUGGUUUGGUGUUGGCUAAUAGUUUUUGAAUUCCAUUUUCUUGUACUACUAAAUCUUCUAUGUUGUCUACUUGGUUCAAAUUAAGUAAUAUGUCUUUGUCUCCUGCGGCGGAGAAUGCUGAUGCAAAGUAUUUGUUUAGGAUGUUUGCUUUAGUUUCAUUAUCAUUAUGUAUUAUGUUAUGUUCAUCUUUUAAGGCGCUAUGCCUGUUGUUUCCAUUUUCUUAGACUUAAUGUAUGACCAUAGGUUUUUGUUGUUAUCUUUAGAUAUUACAUUGUUUAUGUAUUCACUCUGCAGCUGUCUGCUUACUUUUUGGGUUAGGUGUUUAAUUUUUAUAUACUUUUUGUAAACUCUUUCUGCCUUGGUUUCUUUAAAUUUUCUAUAUAGGUUUUCCUUCUGUUUACAAAGCUUCUUUAGUCUAUUAUUAAACCAGCAUUUAUUUAUUUUGUUUGAUGUGUAUUUAGUUGGUAUAUGAUUUUCUAUAAUGCUUUUAAGAUGGUUUUUAAUGAAAUUCCAGAGGUCAUCGACUGGUUGGUUAAUGUCUUUUUCUAAUAAGAAUGUUUGUUGAAAGUUUAAUGCAGCUUGGUGUAGUUGUGUUAGGUUACAUUUAUUCCAGAGUAAAAUUUUUCUUUGGGGUUUUGUAUUGGCUACUGCUUUUAUCUGACUGUGUAUUUUUAUGAUCUCAUGGUCUGAUAGACCAGGGAUAAUAUCACAAUAAACGACUAAUCCAGGUCUGUUGGUUAAGAAGAGAUCUAAUGUGUUGUUUAAUCUAGUUGGCUUUUUAAUGAUUUGAUAUAAACUUAGGUUGUGUAAAAUUUCUAUGAAAAGCUCAUUUAUGUCCUUAGGGUUUUGGUGUUUAUCUAUGGUUAGUGUUUUCCAAUUUAUAUCAGGUAUGUUGAAAUCACCCAUAAUCCAAAAAACUGCAUUUUUAUCUGUCUCUUUAAGUGUAGUAAUCUGAUUACAUAGUUCCUGCAUGUAUUCUAAACUAGAAUUUGGUGGUCUGUAAAUGCUGCCUAUUAUUAGGGAUGUUGAGGUGGUAUUAAUUUUACAAAAUGUAGAUUCUAUAUUUUUGAGUUAGGUAAGGUAAUUUCUUCUGCUAUAAGAGUGUUUUUUAUUGCUAAAAGAACUCCUCCAUGAUUUUCAGCCCUAUCUUUUCUAAAAAUUUCAUAAUUACUAUUGAAAAUUUCUGCAUUAUAAAUUUCAGUGAACGAAUUGUGUGUCCCCUUACCUGUCAAUUCUGUUUAGUGAUGGUCAAGCUCAACUGAUAUUAUUCUAAGCAGCUUUUAUUCUGAGAAUCAUUCAACCACGGAAGCUGUGAAGGAUAUCUGAAAUCCAUUGCUUACUUGUCUAGCAGAAAGAUUUCUAUCCGUUUAGUGAUAAAAGAUUGAGAUUAAUUGUAUACAACUUUUUGUAGUCCCUAAAUAACACACUUUUAUGCUCAAGCAUUACUGUUCAUGAAUGGUUUAGUUUUCUUAAUGCUGAGAGUGUUCAUGAAAGAGGGAUCAAAGGUCAAUUUGGGUUAUUGUUUUUUAAGACAACUUGCAAUGUUUAUUAAUUUAAAUUUACCAGGUACCUAUUAUUCAUUUACUUUGGAUUUUAGAAUAUUUGUCAUUGAAAUUUAAAUAGGUAUAAGUACAGUUAAUCAACUACAGGAUUCCAUUAAAAAAUUUAAAUGCUAAAGAAAUUUAAAAAGAAAACAUUUCAUUUUUGAGAUUAUAUCAUCUUUAUGUGGAAUGUUUUUUGAAUAAAUGGUACCUGUACAGGUGAUUAGACCUAUUAAUAAAUGAUAACUGGAUAUAUUUGUAUUUGAAACCACUGGCAUGUAUUUUACUUGUUACUAAUAACUUAAUUUACUUUUUAAUACAUGCAUUAUCUUCUAUUUUGAAGUAACAUCUGUAUUAUAUAAGAUAAGAUUAUCAACUGUAGUUUUCUUUUAAGAGUUCUUUAUGAAAAUGUUACCACUAAACACUGCUAUAUUACUAGACUUUUUUCAACUAUGUUUUGUAAAUGAAAUAUUGUACAAUGGCAUAUUUAUUGUAUUACAUAAUUAAGGUUUUUAUAGCUAUAUAUUAAAAACAUCUCAUAUCUGAUGUACUCUCUGCACUGAACAAUUUUUUUUAAAGUGAUAAAAAUUUUGGUUUAUUCAUAUCAAGUUUGGUUUGUUUGUAUAUAUGUAGAAUAUGUAUAUCAUAGUGAAAGCAUUUAUUUACUUGCAUUUUAGUUUUUAUAAUCAUUUAUAGAAUUCAGUGUAAAUUCAUUGUACAUUGAACCUCGUUGGUAGUGACAAUGUUAUUAAGUUGACAUGAAGUAUUUAUGUAUAGUCCUGGGUGUUCACUACAUUGUUCAUUGGAUGACUGCCUGACAGUGUUUUAUCCCAUGGGAACCAAUAGAUCAGCAUGUCAAUAUAUCUGUUGUAUACAACUCUAGCAAUAAAUAUUCUGAUCAAGUUUAUAUUUUUGGAACAGAAUAUGCUAAUGUGUUAAAUACUUUUUUUUUUUUUUAAGAAUAACAACUGGUACUUUAUUUUAUCCCUUUGUAUCUUUCUUUUUUUUUUUUAAUGUCUAAGUAGUAUAACUUCUAAUUUAAUUGUCUCCUUUUUAAAAUCAACCAUCUAAAUUAGGGAUUGGCAACCUUUUUCUGUUGAGGGCCGCAUUAAAUUUUUUUUUUUUAGGAAUAGAGGGCCACAUAUAUAUAAUUUGUAUUUACAACUUAGAAAAAUAUGCUAGCUGUCUAUUCAUUUACUUUUAUACUGUAUUAGACAUUCAAAUUGAGGAAUUAUAACAAGAUUUAGCAAUUUUUAAAACUAAUUAAACUAAUACUUUAAAAAAUUUUGUUACUGUCUUUUUACAUCACAUUCAUUCUUCACAACAAUCCAGUUAUACUUAAUGUGAAGUAUUUAAUUGUGCAUAAUGUUCUGGAACUCUGGAACUAGCUUUACUAGUUCUUAUCUUUGUGACUGCUGUUAAAUUACAGCCAGUCAGCAUCCACUUGUUCUUCUGGUUGCAUAUGUUCAAACAAAAGAAAAUAUUCUUGUGCAUCCAAAAAUGUCAAAGUUUAGCAUCAAGUCUUUUUAAGUGUGGAAAUACAGCUUAUGCACCCUUCAAACUGCUUCUCUUUUGGGUCAUAAUUUGCUAGGAAGUAUUUCCUCGGGAGCUGAAUCAGCUUCUGUACUAAAUGGUGAAGUGAGGAUAUUCAAAAAUGGUUUAAGUUCUUGACGUCUUAACAUUUGUUUUCAAAUUCCAUAAGUCUUGUUCUUUUCUUUUUACUAGAAAUAGUUUCACCUUUCAGCAAAGGAAAAUGUGUCACAGUCUUAGUUGACAUUGCAUGAUCUAAAGUUCACAUCAUGUUAAGAGUUUAAAAGACACGUGGAAUUCCUGAUGUAGAAAACAGGAAGUAGAAUGAAUAAAGUUGACUUUGAGUUCAGUCAAGUCAGUAAGGUUUUGCUCCCGGUCCAGGAAGGUUGGACGUUGCUUCCUUGACUGGUGUAUAUAUAUGUAUAUAGCAUGAAAGUCGAUGGACUAAUGAUUGUUGAUUAAUUAUAUUUGAGAGUUGAUUUCAUCAUGUGCUUAUUGAAUAUUAAAGUAUUAUUCGUAUUGCAAUGGAUAUCUAUAGUUGGAGCUCCAGUGUCACUAGUAGCAAUUGUUCUUAUUGUUACCCGCUGAGAUGUGGACGUGAUUUGUAACUAACAUAUAUUGGAUACUUUUGAUACCGCUGUUAUGUGGAUAGGAUUGUUAUUAUUUCUUGACUUGUAGCACUAACAAGGAGUGCAGUGUACUAUUAUUAUUAUUAUGGUAAAAUAAACUUCAUGUUGUCUGCUGAAA
Long non-coding RNA from Biomphalaria glabrata, 7329 nucleotides. RefSeq lists it as uncharacterized. The transcript is spliced from 2 exons. The record is from RefSeq and is a predicted model, not a curated record. Lineage: Eukaryota; Metazoa; Mollusca; Gastropoda; Planorbidae.